GCAUUUUCUGACCUUGCUUGUGGCCAUGAAGAGGGUGAAAGCGACGAUGAGGACGCCCUUGGACACCGGCAGCCAGUGAGCCUCCUGCAUGGUGAAGAGGAUGGCUCCAUACAGACUAGCUUUGAUGCAUGUCUAUGGAGGUGGGAGGAAGCUGAAGUUCCCUGCAAUCACGGGGAGAACAUGCAAAUUCCACACAGAAAGACCCCCUAGCCCGGGAAUCGAACCCAAGACCUUCUCACCGUUAGGUCCCAAGUUCUGGAACGAUCUCCCUCUCCAUGUGAGACAGGCCCCUUCUUUGGCUAUUUUUAAGACCCUUCUUAAAACCCAUUUUUAUUCAUUGGCUUUUAACCCAGCAUGAGACUCUAAACUGUUUUUAACUUUUAACUAUUUUUAACUUUUUAACUGCUUUUUAUCUAACAAAUUGUUCUUAGGGUAAUUUGUAUUUGCUUGUUCAAUGUGUAUUUUACUUCUGUUUUAAAUGUUAUUUUUUAGUCUGUCCUUUGCCUCUAUUUCUUUGUGGUGUUCAGCCCUUUGUUCUUCAACUGUGCUUGUUUUUAAAGGGAUUUAUAAAUAAAGUUGGUAUGGUAUAGUAUGGUAUAUCAGUUUUUUUCAUAGUAAAUUUGUCAUGUCUGUGAUCAUGUUUCGUUUAGUUAUGUUUUGCUUGGUUUUUGGACACUUUUUAGUUCCUGUUUUCACUCCCUUGCUUUGUCACCAUAGCAACCAUUAGUUUCACCUGGUUCACAUCCUCAUGUCACGCACCUGUCUCACGUUUUCACCUGCUGUCACUAAUCAUGUCACUAUUAUUUAAGCUUCCAGUUGCCAGGCUGUCUUUCUGGCGACAUCACUCUGCUUCAUGCCGUGUUUACGGUUUCAUGCUUAGUUCACGCUGCGUGUUUCAUAGUCCAUGCUGCCCUGUUCACAUCAUCGCAAGUAAGUUUUGUUUAUUAAUGCCACAGUUAGUGUUUUUGUUUCAUGUUCACAGUUAAUUGUCUUUUUGCUAGUCUUUGGUUUCAUUAGUCAAGUUUGUUCUCCGCCAUUGUGCGCGCCUUUUGUUUGCUUCUUUUUUUGUAGUUAUAGUGUUAAAAUAAAAGAUGUCAUUACCUUCACGCCAUGUCCGGUCCAAGUUCACUUGCAUCUCGGGAAA
Molecule: long non-coding RNA, 1144 nt
Organism: Nerophis lumbriciformis (worm pipefish)
Lineage: Eukaryota; Metazoa; Chordata; Actinopteri; Syngnathiformes; Syngnathidae
Source: RefSeq, a predicted model, not a curated record